Molecule: ribosomal RNA, 270 nt
Filed under: uncultured Planctomycetota bacterium
Lineage: Bacteria; Pseudomonadati; Planctomycetota
Description: uncultured planctomycete partial 16S ribosomal RNA
Rfam family: Bacterial small subunit ribosomal RNA
Source: RNAcentral
GAGCACGUAGGUGGGUUUGUAAGUCAGACGUGAAAGCCUUCUGUUCAACGGAAGAAUUGCAUCUGAAACUACAAACCUUGAGUGUAGGAGGGGAGAAUGGAACUUCUGGUGGAGCGGUGAAAUGCGUAGAUAUCAGAAGGAACGCCGGCGGCGAAAGCGAUUCUCUGGCCUAUUACUGACACUCAGUGUGCGAAAGCUAGGGGGAGCAAACGGGAUUAGAUACCCCGGUAGUCCUAGCCGUAAACGAUGGGCACUAAGUAGAGGGGUUUU